UGAUUUGUAAGGUGAAGGUAAAGGCUUGGCUUUGGGAAUUGAAAAGCUGAGGAGAUGAAUGCAUGCAGAUUCAGAUGAAGUUGAAUAGUUAUUUGUUGAAUGGAAAUAUUAAUUUAUAUAUAAAUACCAUUGAUUCACUCCUUAGUAAAAAAAGAGAGUAUAUUACUUAUUCUAAACAUGAAUGUGAUUCCGUACAUUCAACGAAACAAGUAGCAUUAGAAAUUAAUUGAUUUAUUAUAUAAUAACAUGUUUGUUCCCUUGUAAACUAGGGAGGAUUGGUAGAUACUGAAUUUAUUUCUCAAUUUAAU
This 308-nucleotide long non-coding RNA is filed under the name Gossypium barbadense (sea-island cotton). RNAcentral's name for it is "long non-coding RNA (GBAR_LNC017705)". The record is from RNAcentral. Lineage: Eukaryota; Viridiplantae; Streptophyta; Magnoliopsida; Malvales; Malvaceae.